ACGGAGGAAGGUGGGGACGCCGUCAAAUCAUCAUGCCCCCUUACGUCCUGGCGCACCCACGUACUACAAUGCCGCCCAACAAAGAGAGGCAAGGCCCCGAGGCGGAGCAAAUCUCAAAAAGCCGUUCCAGUUCGGAUCCCAGGCUGCAACCCGCCUGCGUGAAGUUGGAAUCGCUAGUAAUCGCGGAUCAGCAUGCCGCGGUGAAUACGUUCCCGGGCCUUGUACACACCGCCCGUCACACCAUGAGAGUCGGGACCCCCCGAAGUCCGUAGCCUAACCGCA
This 282-nucleotide ribosomal RNA is filed under the name uncultured bacterium. Its description in RNAcentral is "partial 16S ribosomal RNA". It matches the Rfam family "Bacterial small subunit ribosomal RNA", at positions 1163 to 1443 of the family's 1533-position model. The record is from RNAcentral.